RNAcentral lists this ribosomal RNA (402 nucleotides) under uncultured bacterium. RNAcentral describes it as "bacterial SSU rRNA". It matches the Rfam family "Bacterial small subunit ribosomal RNA", at positions 29 to 422 of the family's 1533-position model. The record is from RNAcentral.
AACGAACGCUGGCGGCGCGCCUAAUACAUGCAAGUCGAGCGAGAAGACGUAGCAAUACGUUUGUAAAGCGGCGAACGGGUGAGGAAUACAUGGGUAACCUACCCUCGAGUGGGGAAUAACUAGCCGAAAGGUUAGCUAAUACCGCGUACGCUCCUUGGACUUCGGUUCAUGGAGGAAAGCGAUACCGUGGGUAUCGCGCUCUUGGAUGGGCUCAUGUCCUAUCAGCUUGUGGUGAGGUAACGGCUCACCAAGGCUUCAACGGGUAGCUGGUCUGAGAGGACGAUCAGCCACACUGGCACUGCGACACGGGCCAGACUCCUACGGGAGGCAGCAGUAAGGAAUAUUGCGCAAUGGGCGAAAGCCUGACGCAGCGACGCCGCGUGGGGGAUGAAGGUCUUCGGA